RNAcentral lists this transfer RNA (87 nucleotides) under Alcaligenaceae bacterium. RNAcentral describes it as "tRNA-Tyr". It matches the Rfam family "tRNA". Rfam says of the family: Transfer RNA (tRNA) molecules are approximately 80 nucleotides in length. Their secondary structure includes four short double-helical elements and three loops (D, anti-codon, and T loops). Further hydrogen bonds mediate the characteristic L-shaped molecular structure. tRNAs have two regions of fundamental functional importance: the anti-codon, which is responsible for specific mRNA codon recognition, and the 3' end, to which the tRNAs corresponding amino acid is attached (by aminoacyl-tRNA synthetases). tRNAs cope with the degeneracy of the genetic code in two manners: having more than one tRNA (with a specific anti-codon) for a particular amino acid; and 'wobble' base-pairing, i.e. permitting non-standard base-pairing at the 3rd anti-codon position. Lineage: Bacteria; Pseudomonadati; Pseudomonadota; Betaproteobacteria; Burkholderiales; Alcaligenaceae. The record is from RNAcentral.
GGUGGGAUGCUCGAGUGGUUAAUGAGGGCAGACUGUAAAUCUGUUGGCCUUGCGCCUACGUUGGUUCGAAUCCAACUCCCACCACCA